AUUGAACGCUGGCGGCAUGCCUUACACAUGCAAGUCGAACGGCAGCGCGGGGCAACCUGGCGGCGAGUGGCGAACGGGUGAGUAAUAUAUCGGAACGUACCCUGGAGUGGGGGAUAACGUAGCGAAAGUUACGCUAAUACCGCAUACGAUCUAAGGAUGAAAGCAGGGGACCGCAAGGCCUUGUGCUCCAGGAGCGGCCGAUAUCUGAUUAGCUAGUUGGUGGGGUAAAGGCCUACCAAGGCAUCGAUCAGUAGCUGGUCUGAGAGGACGACCAGCCACACUGGAACUGAGACACGGUCCAGACUCCUACGGGAGGCAGCAGUGGGAAUUUUGGACAAUGGGCGCAAGCCUGAUCCAGCAAUGCCGCGUGAGUGAAGAAGG
This 381-nucleotide ribosomal RNA is filed under the name uncultured bacterium. RNAcentral describes it as "bacterial SSU rRNA". It matches the Rfam family "Bacterial small subunit ribosomal RNA", at positions 30 to 414 of the family's 1533-position model. The record is from RNAcentral.